This 1018-nucleotide ribosomal RNA is filed under the name uncultured bacterium. RNAcentral describes it as "bacterial SSU rRNA". It matches the Rfam family "Bacterial small subunit ribosomal RNA", at positions 357 to 1376 of the family's 1533-position model. The record is from RNAcentral.
AGGAAUAUUGGUCAAUGGACGAGAGUCUGAACCAGCCAAGUAGCGUGAAGGAUGACUGCCCUAUGGGUUGUAAACUUCUUUUAUAUGGGAAUAAAGUGCAGUAUGUAUACUGUUUUGUAUGUACCAUACGAAUAAGGAUCGGCUAACUCCGUGCCAGCAGCCGCGGUAAUACGGAGGAUCCAAGCGUUAUCCGGAUUUAUUGGGUUUAAAGGGAGCGUAGGCGGAUUAUUAAGUCAGUUGUGAAAGUUUGCGGCUCAACCGUAAAAUUGCAGUUGAUACUGGAUGUCUUGAGUGCAGUUGAGGCAGGCGGAAUUCGUGGUGUAGCGGUGAAAUGCUUAGAUAUCACGAAGAACUCCGAUUGCGAAGGCAGCCUGCUAAGCUGCAACUGACAUUGAGGCUCGAAAGUGUGGGUAUCAAACAGGAUUAGAUACCCUGGUAGUCCACACGGUAAACGAUGAAUACUCGCUGUUUGCGAUAUACGGCAAGCGGCCAAGCGAAAGCGUUAAGUAUUCCACCUGGGGAGUACGCCGGCAACGGUGAAACUCAAAGGAAUUGACGGGGGCCCGCACAAGCGGAGGAACAUGUGGUUUAAUUCGAUGAUACGCGAGGAACCUUACCCGGGCUUAAAUUGCACUCGAAUGAUCCGGAAACGGUUCAGCUAGCAAUAGCGAGUGUGAAGGUGCUGCAUGGUUGUCGUCAGCUCGUGCCGUGAGGUGUCGGCUUAAGUGCCAUAACGAGCGCAACCCUUGUUGUCAGUUACUAACAGGUGAUGCUGAGGACUCUGACAAGACUGCCAUCGUAAGAUGUGAGGAAGGUGGGGAUGACGUCAAAUCAGCACGGCCCUUACGUCCGGGGCUACACACGUGUUACAAUGGGGGGUACAGAGGGCCGCUACCACGCGAGUGGAUGCCAAUCCCUAAAACCCCUCUCAGUUCGGAUCGAAGUCUGCAACCCGACUUCGUGAAGCUGGAUUCGCUAGUAAUCGCGCAUCAGCCAUGGCGCGGUGAAUACGUUCCCG